GUAGCUCAGUAGCAGAGCAUCUGCUUUGCAUGCAGAAGGUCCCGGGUUCAAGCCCCAUCACCUCCA
This is a non-coding RNA of Podarcis lilfordi (Lilford's wall lizard), 66 nucleotides long. The record is from the annotation of a GenBank genome assembly. Lineage: Eukaryota; Metazoa; Chordata; Lepidosauria; Squamata; Lacertidae.